AGGAGAUAAAUAAUAUACAAGUAUAACAAACAUACGAUAUGCACAAAUAAUAAAACAAAAGAAUAAGAUCAAAAUAGCCUAAGGUUUGCCUAACAUCAAUAAUAUACAUAAUUAAACAUAUUCAAACUCCAUUGGAAUAACUUCAUUGGGAAGCAACUCUGGGGUACCUGUAAAGACACUUAGUAAAAGUGUUAGUAAUAAAUAAAUAUGAAUAAAAAUAAAUGAAUUAAAUAAUAACUUAAAAAUAAAAACCCGUCGUAUUAACAUGGAGGCCUUGGAAAUCGACGGUAAUUUCUUCAUCGGCCAUUUUUAACAAACAAAAUAUAAACAUAAACUAAA
Molecule: long non-coding RNA, 339 nt
Filed under: Solanum tuberosum (potato)
Lineage: Eukaryota; Viridiplantae; Streptophyta; Magnoliopsida; Solanales; Solanaceae
Description: long non-coding RNA (STUB_LNC000772)
Source: RNAcentral